GGGGAUGUAGCUCAAUGGUAGACCAUUUGCUUGGUAUGCUGAAGGUCCUGGGUUCAAAAUUCUCAGCAUUCUAA
RNAcentral lists this transfer RNA (74 nucleotides) under Heterocephalus glaber (naked mole-rat). It matches the Rfam family "tRNA". Rfam says of the family: Transfer RNA (tRNA) molecules are approximately 80 nucleotides in length. Their secondary structure includes four short double-helical elements and three loops (D, anti-codon, and T loops). The record is from Rfam by way of RNAcentral. Lineage: Eukaryota; Metazoa; Chordata; Mammalia; Rodentia; Bathyergidae.